GGAGAGGUGGCUGAGCGGCUGAAAGCGGCAGGUUGCUAACCUGUUAUAGGACCUUAAAAUCCUAUCGAGGGUUCGAAUCCCUCCCUCUCCG
Molecule: transfer RNA, 91 nt
Filed under: Candidatus Moraniibacteriota bacterium
Lineage: Bacteria; Candidatus Moraniibacteriota
Description: tRNA-Ser
Rfam family: tRNA
About the family: Transfer RNA (tRNA) molecules are approximately 80 nucleotides in length. Their secondary structure includes four short double-helical elements and three loops (D, anti-codon, and T loops). Further hydrogen bonds mediate the characteristic L-shaped molecular structure. tRNAs have two regions of fundamental functional importance: the anti-codon, which is responsible for specific mRNA codon recognition, and the 3' end, to which the tRNAs corresponding amino acid is attached (by aminoacyl-tRNA synthetases). tRNAs cope with the degeneracy of the genetic code in two manners: having more than one tRNA (with a specific anti-codon) for a particular amino acid; and 'wobble' base-pairing, i.e. permitting non-standard base-pairing at the 3rd anti-codon position.
Source: RNAcentral